AGAUUGAACGCUGGCGGCAGGCCUAACACAUGCAAGUCGAGCGGCAGCACGGGUACUUGUACCUGGUGGCGAGCGGCGGACGGGUGAGUAAUGCCUAGGAAUCUGCCUGGUAGUGGGGGGAUAACGCUCGGAAACGGACGCUAAUACCGCAUACGUCCUACGGGAGAAAGCAGGGGACCUUCGGGCCUUGCGCUAUCAGAUGAGCCUAGGUCGGAUUAGCUAGUUGGUGGGGUAAUGGCUCACCAAGGCGACGAUCCGUAACUGGUCUGAGAGGAUGAUCAGUCACACUGGAACUGAGACACGGUCCAGACUCCUACGGGAGGCAGCAGUGGGGAAUUUUGGACAAUGGGCGCAAGCCUGAUCCAGCAAUGCCGCGUGCAGGAAGAAGGCCUUCGGUUGUAAACUGCUUUUGUACGGUAACGAAACGGUUCUAGGUUAAUACCGUCGGCUAAGUGACGGUACCGUAAGAAUAAGACACCGGCUAACUACGUGACCAGACAGCCGA
RNAcentral lists this ribosomal RNA (505 nucleotides) under uncultured soil bacterium. Its description in RNAcentral is "bacterial SSU rRNA". It matches the Rfam family "Bacterial small subunit ribosomal RNA", at positions 26 to 518 of the family's 1533-position model. The record is from RNAcentral.